This 141-nucleotide ribosomal RNA is filed under the name uncultured actinomycete. Its description in RNAcentral is "16S ribosomal RNA". The record is from RNAcentral. Lineage: Bacteria; Bacillati; Actinomycetota; Actinomycetes; Actinomycetales.
AGCAUGAUGCGAGCUGACGCAGCGACGCCGCGUGGGGGAGAGGCCUUCGGGUUGUAACCCCUGUUCUGCGGGGACGAAUGGAGAGAGGACCCUGCAAAAAAACCCCGGGUAAAUCUGUGCCACCACCCGCGGGAAUAUACG